GAUCGAAAGACCUUGCGCUUAAGGAGCGGCCGAUGUCUGAUUAGCUAGUUGGUGGGGUAAAGGCCUACCAAGGCGACGAUCAGUAGUUGGUCUGAGAGGACGACCAACCACACUGGGACUGAGACACGGCCCAGACUCCUACGGGAGGCAGCAGUGGGGAAUUUUGGACAAUGGGCGCAAGCCUGAUCCAGCCAUGCCGCGUGAGUGAAGAAGGCCUUCGGGUUGUAAAGCUCUUUCAGUUGGGAAGAAACGAUUACAACUAAUAAUUGUAAUUAAUGACGGUACCGACAGAAGAAGCACCGGCUAACUACGUGCCAGCAGCCGCGGUAAUACGUAGGGUGCGAGCGUUAAUCGGAAUUACUGGGCGUAAAGGGUGCGCAGGCGGUUUUGUAAGUCAGAUGUGAAAUCCCCGGGCUUAACCUGGGAAUGGCGUUUGAA
Molecule: ribosomal RNA, 438 nt
Filed under: uncultured bacterium
Lineage: Bacteria
Description: bacterial SSU rRNA
Rfam family: Bacterial small subunit ribosomal RNA
Source: RNAcentral